CAGCCGCCGCGGGAAUACGGAGGAUCCGAGCGUUAUCCGGAAUUAUUGGGUUUAAAGGGUGCGUAGGCGGAUAGAUAAGUCAGUGGUGAAAGACGGUGGCUCAACCAUCGCAGUGCCGUUGAUACUGUUUAUCUUGAAUAUGGAUAAGGUAGGCGGAAUGUGGCAAGUAGCGGUGAAAUGCAUAGAUAUGCCACAGAACACCGAUUGCGAAGGCAGCUUACCAAGGCAAAAUUGACGCUGAGGCACGAAAGCGUGGGGAUCGAACAGGAUUAGAUACCCCAGUAGUCCCUGUCUCUUAUAA
This 301-nucleotide ribosomal RNA is filed under the name uncultured bacterium. Its description in RNAcentral is "partial 16S ribosomal RNA". It matches the Rfam family "Bacterial small subunit ribosomal RNA", at positions 509 to 809 of the family's 1533-position model. The record is from RNAcentral.